CCUACGGGCGGCAGCAGUGAGGAAUAUUGGUCAAUGGGCGGAAGCCUGAACCAGCCAAGUCGCGUGAGGGAAUAAGGCCCUACGGGUCGUAAACCUCUUUUGCCGGGGAGCAAGGGCGGGGACGUGUCCCGGCCCGGAGAGUACCCGGAGAAAAAGCAUCGGCUAACUCCGUGCCAGCAGCCGCGGUAAUACGGAGGAUGCGAGCGUUAUCCGGAUUUAUUGGGUUUAAAGGGCGUGUAGGCGGGAUUGCAAGUCAGAUGUGAAAACCACGGGCUCAACCUGUGGGCUGCAUUUGAAACUGUAGUUCUUGAGUGCUGGAGAGGCAAUCGGAAUUCCGUGUGUAGCGGUGGAAUGCGCAGAUAUCGGGAAGAACACCGAUGGCGAAGGCAGCUCUCUGGGCCGUCACUGACGCUGAGGCGCGAAAGCUGGGGGAGCGAACAGGAUUAGAUACCCGAGUAGUC
RNAcentral lists this ribosomal RNA (461 nucleotides) under uncultured bacterium. Its description in RNAcentral is "partial 16S ribosomal RNA". It matches the Rfam family "Bacterial small subunit ribosomal RNA", at positions 338 to 795 of the family's 1533-position model. The record is from RNAcentral.